RNAcentral lists this transfer RNA (77 nucleotides) under Ruminococcus sp. AM27-16. RNAcentral's name for it is "tRNA-Met". It matches the Rfam family "tRNA". From Rfam's summary of the family: Transfer RNA (tRNA) molecules are approximately 80 nucleotides in length. Their secondary structure includes four short double-helical elements and three loops (D, anti-codon, and T loops). Further hydrogen bonds mediate the characteristic L-shaped molecular structure. tRNAs have two regions of fundamental functional importance: the anti-codon, which is responsible for specific mRNA codon recognition, and the 3' end, to which the tRNAs corresponding amino acid is attached (by aminoacyl-tRNA synthetases). tRNAs cope with the degeneracy of the genetic code in two manners: having more than one tRNA (with a specific anti-codon) for a particular amino acid; and 'wobble' base-pairing, i.e. permitting non-standard base-pairing at the 3rd anti-codon position. Lineage: Bacteria; Bacillati; Bacillota; Clostridia; Eubacteriales; Oscillospiraceae. The record is from RNAcentral.
GGAAUGUUAGCUCAGUUGGUUAGAGCGUCCGCCUCAUAAGCGGAUGGUCAUGGGUUCGAGUCCCAUACAUUCCACUA